GACGAACGCUGGCGGCGUGCUUAACACAUGCAAGUCGAACGGAAAGGCCCUGCUUUUGUGGGGUGCUCGAGUGGCGAACGGGUGAGUAACACGUGAGUAACCUGCCCUUGACUUUGGGAUAACUUCAGGAAACUGGGGCUAAUACCGGAUAGGAGCUCCUGCUGCAUGGUGGGGGUUGGAAAGUUUCGGCGGUUGGGGAUGGACUCGCGGCUUAUCAGCUUGUUGGUGGGGUAGUGGCUUACCAAGGCUUUGACGGGUAGCCGGCCCGAGAGGGUGACCGGCCACAUUGGGACUGAGAUACGGCCCAGACUCCUACGGGAGGCAGAAGUGGGGAAUAUUGCACAAUGGGCGGAAGCCUGAUGCAGCAACGCCGCGUGCGGGAUGACGGCCUUCGGGUUGUAAACCGCUUUCGCCUGUGACGAAGCGUGAGUGACGGUAAUGGGUAAAGAAGCACCGGCUAACUACGUG
Molecule: ribosomal RNA, 468 nt
Filed under: uncultured bacterium
Lineage: Bacteria
Description: partial 16S ribosomal RNA
Rfam family: Bacterial small subunit ribosomal RNA
Source: RNAcentral